CCUCUCCUAGGUCAAAGAAG
This 20-nucleotide small nuclear RNA is filed under the name Arabidopsis thaliana (thale cress). RNAcentral describes it as "snRNA_06167". Lineage: Eukaryota; Viridiplantae; Streptophyta; Magnoliopsida; Brassicales; Brassicaceae. The record is from RNAcentral.